CUCCUGCAGCUAGUCAAUGAAAUUGAUAAUUCAGUACAAAUGCUGAAAUAUUAACACAAGACGAGAAGACCCUGUGGAACUUUUAACUAACCUGCCAGCAGUAAUCAACCAACCAACCACCCCUAGCAGACAGUUUAAGUUGGGGGCAACUACGGAGCACAACAAAACCUCCAUGAAACACGAAUAUCAUUCGUCACCAAGGCCCACACGCCAACACAUUAAGCUUGACCCAGUAAAACUGAAUUUCGAACCAAGCUACCCCAGGGAUAACAGCGCAAUCCCCUUCAAGAGUCCCUAUCGCCAAGGGGGCUUACGACCUCGAUGUUGGAUCAGGACACCCCGGCGGUGCAGCCGCUGCCAAAGGCUCGUUUGUUCAACGAAUAAUGUCCU
This 390-nucleotide ribosomal RNA is filed under the name Lygodactylus tuberosus. RNAcentral describes it as "partial large subunit ribosomal RNA". It matches the Rfam family "Bacterial large subunit ribosomal RNA", at positions 2020 to 2597 of the family's 2925-position model. Lineage: Eukaryota; Metazoa; Chordata; Lepidosauria; Squamata; Gekkonidae. The record is from RNAcentral.